AACGAACGCUGGCGGCAGGCCUAACACAUGCAAGUCGAACGCAUCGCAAGAUGAGUGGCGCACGGGUGAGUAACACGUGGGAACGUACCCUUUGGUUCGGAAUAACGUUUGGAAACGAACGCUAAUACCGGAUGAGCCCUGUGGGGGAAAGAUUUAUCGCCAAAGGAGCGGCCCGCGUCUGAUUAGGUAGUUGGUGGGGUAAUGGCCUACCAAGCCGACGAUCAGUAGCUGGUCUGAGAGGAUGAUCAGCCACACUGGGACUGAGACACGGCCCAGACUCCUACGGGAGGCAGCAGUGGGGAAUAUUGGACAAUGGGCGGAAGCCUGAUCCAGCCAUGCCGCGUGAGUGAUGAAGGCCUUCGGGUUGUAAAGCUCUUUCGCACGCGACGAUGAUGACGGUAGCGUGAGAAAAAGCCCCGGCUAACUUCGUGCCAGCAGCCGCUGUAA
Molecule: ribosomal RNA, 447 nt
Filed under: uncultured bacterium
Lineage: Bacteria
Description: partial 16S ribosomal RNA
Rfam family: Bacterial small subunit ribosomal RNA
Source: RNAcentral